RNAcentral lists this ribosomal RNA (660 nucleotides) under Peltis grossa. RNAcentral's name for it is "partial 28S large subunit ribosomal RNA". It matches the Rfam family "Eukaryotic large subunit ribosomal RNA", at positions 656 to 1270 of the family's 3401-position model. Lineage: Eukaryota; Metazoa; Arthropoda; Insecta; Coleoptera; Peltidae. The record is from RNAcentral.
GAAACACUGACCAAGGAGUCUAGCAUGUGCGCGAGUCAUUGGGACACAACUAAACCUAAAGGCGCAAUGAAAGUGAAGGUCCGCCUUGCGCGGACCCAGGGAAGAUGGGCGGUUGCCAAUAAGUGUCCGCCCCGCACUCCCGGGGCGUCUCAGUCUCAUUGCGAGAAGAGGCGCACCAAGAGCGUACACGCUGGGACCCGAAAGAUGGUGAACUAUGCCUGGUCAGGACGAAGUCAGGGGAAACCCUGAUGGAGGUCCGUAGCGAUUCUGACGUGCAAAUCGAUCGUCGGAACUGGGUAUAGGGGCGAAAGACUAAUCGAACCAUCUAGUAGCUGGUUCCCUCCGAAGUUUCCCUCAGGAUAGCUGGCGCUCGUUGCGCACGAGUCUCAUCCGGUAAAGCGAAUGAUUAGAGGCCUUGGGGUCGAAACGGCCUCAACCUAUUCUCAAACUUUAAAUGGGUGAGAUCUCCGGCUUGCUCGAACUACUGAAGCCGCGAGACACGGAUCAGAGUGCCAAGUGGGCCAUUUUUGGUAAGCAGAACUGGCGCUGUGGGAUGAACCAAACGCCGAGUUAAAGCGCCUAAAUCGACGCUUAUGGGAUACCAUGAAAGGCGUUGGUAACUUAAGACAGCAGGACGGUGGCCAUGGAAGUCGGAAUCCG